GAUGGUACAGCUCAGUGGUAGAGCACGUGCUUAGCAUGCACAAGGUCUUGGGUUCGGUCCCCAUUACCUGCA
RNAcentral lists this transfer RNA (72 nucleotides) under Camelus ferus (Wild Bactrian camel). It matches the Rfam family "tRNA". From Rfam's summary of the family: Transfer RNA (tRNA) molecules are approximately 80 nucleotides in length. Their secondary structure includes four short double-helical elements and three loops (D, anti-codon, and T loops). Further hydrogen bonds mediate the characteristic L-shaped molecular structure. tRNAs have two regions of fundamental functional importance: the anti-codon, which is responsible for specific mRNA codon recognition, and the 3' end, to which the tRNAs corresponding amino acid is attached (by aminoacyl-tRNA synthetases). tRNAs cope with the degeneracy of the genetic code in two manners: having more than one tRNA (with a specific anti-codon) for a particular amino acid; and 'wobble' base-pairing, i.e. permitting non-standard base-pairing at the 3rd anti-codon position. Lineage: Eukaryota; Metazoa; Chordata; Mammalia; Artiodactyla; Camelidae. The record is from Rfam by way of RNAcentral.